GGUCGAAUACGGAGCUGCGCACUAGAUGCCGCAUCGCUGCGACACUUUGAACCUUCGGCUCUUCUAGUGCACUCGUAUUUUACCGCGUUUAUUUUGGAUCCUACUACCCAUAGACAAUAAAGGAACAUCCAGAAUGACUUCACCGGCGAUAAGUAAAUCACCCGAAAAGCAAAAGUCAGAGAGCAAGUCUCCAUCACAUGCUUCCAUCAACACUCAACCUAUAGCAAAUACAUCCUCAGAGCCGCCUAGGACAGAUCCUUUUAGUUGCUUACGAGUUUUCAAACUUGCAGGACUAAUGAUGAAGCAAGGAUGUUAAUGUGUGGUACCUGGCAAAUGUAGCAUGUUGAAGAUAGCUUAUUUUUUUAAGUAAUAUCUACCGCAGUGAGAAAUCAAAUUAAGAAAUAUCAUUAUUAGUAUACGGUAGAUUUGAGAGAUAUUAGAAAUGGAUAGAUAUUUUUCGAAUUUAUUUCAUUAUAAAAGCUAUAUCUUUCUCUUCAACCCGUAUGUCGUCGUCGUGUAUUGGUUGGUCUUCAUUAUUAAACUAUACUGCCAUCAGGACCACUUACGUUAGACAGACAACAACAGUAUCCUAAACUUAAAAAAUAAUUGGCUUAUUUUUUAGUUUUGAAAAUUUAUAAGUGUGUCGAAAUAAUGUCAACCUCUAGCACCACAAGAAGCAAAUUUCACCUGAAUACUUGGGUUUUACGAUGCUCAGGUAAUUUCGAAAAAUAAAUUUAAAAUUAAAUCAUGUUAUUGUUUGUAGUUUUAAAGUUAAUGUGUUAGAAGCGAUGAGCAAGUUAUAAAAUUUAGGCAAAUGCCUGAUCUUCUAGUUUCUAUCUUAGAAUGAAUCUAUCGGUUCUAGCAUGAUUGUUAAAAUGUUUGUUUAAUAAACUUUAUUAUUAUAAGA
Pieris rapae (cabbage white) is the source of this 907-nucleotide long non-coding RNA. RefSeq lists it as uncharacterized. The transcript has 2 exons. The record is from RefSeq and is a predicted model, not a curated record. Lineage: Eukaryota; Metazoa; Arthropoda; Insecta; Lepidoptera; Pieridae.